Molecule: long non-coding RNA, 1783 nt
Organism: Cavia porcellus (domestic guinea pig)
Lineage: Eukaryota; Metazoa; Chordata; Mammalia; Rodentia; Caviidae
Exons: 2
Source: RefSeq, a predicted model, not a curated record
AUCUCACGCACUCCAGGCUUGAUCUCUGCACGACGCAUGCCCAGGUUGUUCCCGGUCACCGGUGCCACCAUCUGGCCAGUCCAAGGACCAGAGAUUGCCUUCUGCAGGCACAGGGGCCAAGAGGGAAGCUUUGUGGACCUCAGCCUGAACCUGAGUAGCUACAAUUGAGGAGCAGCUGACUCCAGAACACCCCAGGACCCAGCAGUCUCUAUUGCUCUUACACCUAGGCCACUUUAGUCACUGGCAUCAAGUCCGCACAGACUUGUCUGCAACCUCUGCCAACCCUCCAGCUGCUUUUCUUGCCUCCACUUCCAGCUCCAAUCACAAUGAGCUAGUUUCAUGUUCUGAAAUGUUACUUUUUAUGUGUUCAAGCAUGUUAAUCCCUCAAUCCGCAAUACUCCUCCAACCUCUGCUUACUUAGCUAACUCCUAACAAUUUUCAAGUCCAAUACCAGAGAAGAUCCUUCCUGUAGGAAACCUGCCUUGACUUUAUGCUCUCUUCACAUUCUAUUAAGUACUCGCUAUUCCUACCGUUGUCUCUUCACUUGUCUGAUUGCUUCAUUACUCUGAGAGCCCCAAAAGGGUAGAACCCAUGGGCCUGCUCAUUAGCUGCUGGGCCCCUAACCCUGAAUGAAGCAUAGAGGCCAAGAUGAUGCAUUCUGCCUGGGUGCCCACUUCCUUCUUUGUAAAGCAAAGUUCUGGUAUCUUAAGAACAUCUACCUUUGUAGGAUAGAGCCAAGGACCGAAGAUGCUCUGUGUCCAAAGGCAUUCUAUGUGCCUCCCAGAGUUGUCUUUUGUCCUUUAAAUUUGAAUGAGUGCUAAUAGUCAUCUUUAAUUUCCUAUUAACUCAAUCAGGAUCCCUGUAUGACUUAUACUGUUGUAUCAUGACUGAUCUUAGUUAAAUCUGACUCGUUUGAUUGCUGCUUAUUAUUAACAGAUUUUAUUCAUAACAGGUUGCUGGUAUCAAGCUGAGGAGUAUACACAACUAUACUGAAAAUGACAAUGAUUCAUUACACUGUGAUUUGAUUACUACCUGUUUUUGUAGCUCUAUACUAUCUACAAAGUUGUAUUUCUAUUAAUUCUGUUAUGUACUGAUAUAUUCAGUUACACUUUAUCUGAUGAUAUAGCCAGUUCUGUUGAUGAUAACAGGAAACAGCACAGUGACCAUGGUAGAACUCUUUAUACAGCAGUUUUAUAAGUCUUUUUAGUUUUAUGUGUCUAUAGGAAUAUGUUUAGUUCUGUCCUGCUUUGUUCUGUUUCUCCCUCUAAUAUAGAAAGGAUAGAAAUGCAUGUUAAGACUCAUGCUUGUGGAAAACCUAUAAACAGUUUAUGAGAACUGAUCUUAUGACACAUGACGAAAUGAACAAAUACUUUGAAGGAAAGAAAGGGGCACUGCAGUACCCAGUGCUGAUUCCAGAGUGUUAUGAUGUGAAAUCCAGCAAUAUUAUUAAUCUUUGUUCAGAAUGAUUUUAAUCUAAUAAGUUUUGUUAGGUCUCAACAUAAAUGAAGAUAUGUAUAAAUGCAUACAUGUCUAAGUGUAUAGGAUUUAUAGCCAUAUUACUUAGUUUUCGUUGGCAAGUUGAACAGAACUAUUUGCAGUCUCCCUGGUUGAAUUCCCAUUUAUAUGCUCCACUUUUGUAUCUUGAACAACUAUUUGUGGGGGAACAAUAUGUAUACAUCAACUAGCGAUUUAUUACUGUUUAUUUCUUUUCUUUGAAAGUAUGUACUAUGUCUGCCCAUUUUGUUUUGUGUUUAAAUAAAAAAAAUUUGAAGGAGUGCUAAAA